UGUUCUUUUUUUCUGAAUAAAUGGUUUUGGCCUGAGAAAGAAACUAAAGCUUCGUCCGUUGUUUGCCUGCACCUACCUCCUUCAUGAGAAGCCUUCUAGGAUUCAUGUCCCCUCCAAAAUCUGAUUACGUCUACAAACAAUGGAGGUUGCGAUAGGGGAGACGAGUCUUCGUAAGUAAUCUAUGCAUCGAUCACAUGUUGUGUCGUUUCGCGAUCGAUUCUUCUCCCCCGAGCCGUUACGAGUUUCAUUUGUUGAUGGCUUCUUCCUCGCUGAUAUCGAAGGUUAAAUUUCUUUUCUCGGGAAUUAUAACAAACUUAUGAGGCUAAUAUGAUAGGGUGGCUUUAGAAGUGAACGAUGAUGAGCUUGAGAUGGUUGGUUCGGAAUGCUGGUGUUGUGCUGUUUCAAAGAGAAAUCCCAGACUCCAUCAACAUUCAAGUUGCUAAGGUUGUGAAGAGAGUAGUUGUUCCGGUCAUCCUUGACGUGGGGGAAUGGAUACGCCAAUCUCGAAUGAGCCAUUGGAUUCAGUCGACGUCUUAAGCUCGAAUGAAACUGAGCUUAGUCACCUGACCGGAAUCCAUACUGAAACUUUUGAACAGAUCAGCCAAGGCUGUCGCAAAGUGCCAUAAGUUAGUAUGUAAGUAUUCUUUUGCACAUUUCCAGUACUUAAACUCCCAAAUUUUGGUUAAUGGCUUAGUGGGUUUUGGGUCUGCAACGAGUUGAAAUUACUGCUGCGUAUUAACCAAAACCAUAUUGUUUUCUUCAUCGCUCAACCUCCGUUGAGCAUCUCUCGGAUAAAAGGUUUCUACUUUCUGGGGAGCUCCGCUGUCCAUCACGCCCCUCAACAUCUUCAGUCACCGAGCCCUAUAAACUACGCUCCACUGCUCCUCUUACCGCAAGCCAUUGUACCGGAGCUGUGAGACUUUUGGCCAGAUCUACUCAGUACGUGUACGAGUGCAGAACAUUGAUCAGAUCUCCUUCGCUGCUCUCCCUCCUUCUCCUCUGCUUCGCCUCUCCUCUCCUCUCCUCUCUUCCGGUUCAAUUUACUCCCGGACGAAGAGUCACUUCUCCACCGUGCAUCACCGUGUAUACAUCAGAACCGAGCCUAACACCAUCUCUCCCCUCCGCCGUUGUAUCCCUUUCGACUGUUCGCUGCAGUUCAGCGUCGACAUUACCCUCCAUGUAACAAAGCAUCCCAUUGUUCGUUAUAUACAUGGAUUAAUUUUUACGAUGACUAUCUCUAUUCAUCUUUGGAAGAGAUACCUCUAUGAAUACAACUGAAAUA
Molecule: long non-coding RNA, 1282 nt
Organism: Brassica oleracea var. oleracea
Lineage: Eukaryota; Viridiplantae; Streptophyta; Magnoliopsida; Brassicales; Brassicaceae
Exons: 2
Source: RefSeq, a predicted model, not a curated record